This 370-nucleotide ribosomal RNA is filed under the name uncultured prokaryote. RNAcentral's name for it is "bacterial SSU rRNA". It matches the Rfam family "Bacterial small subunit ribosomal RNA", at positions 524 to 896 of the family's 1533-position model. The record is from RNAcentral.
UACGAAGGUGGCAAGCGUUAUUCGGAUUUACUGGGCGUACAGGGAGCGUAGGCGGUUCGGUAAGCCCUUUGUGAAAUCUUCAGGCUUAACCUGGAACAGUCGGAGGGGACUGCCGGGCUAGAGGACGGGAGAGGAACGCGGAAUUCCCGGUGUAGCGGUGAAAUGCGUAGAGAUCGGGAGGAAGGCCGGUGGCAAGGGCGGCGCUCUGGAACGUUUCUGACGCUGAGGCUCGAAGGCGUGGGGAGCAAACAGGAUUAGAUACCCUGGUAGUCCACGCCUUAAACUAUGAAUACAAAGUGUCGGCGGGUUACCGCCGGUGCCGCAGCUAACGCAUUAAGUAUUCCGCCUGGGAAGUACGGCCGCAAGGUUG